RNAcentral lists this antisense RNA (75 nucleotides) under Streptomyces longwoodensis. RNAcentral describes it as "ASpks TB sRNA". It matches the Rfam family "ASpks TB sRNA". The record is from Rfam by way of RNAcentral. Lineage: Bacteria; Bacillati; Actinomycetota; Actinomycetes; Kitasatosporales; Streptomycetaceae.
CUUCACGGAGCCGAGCCACAGGGGGCGGUCGGACGGGCGGCCCUUGCCGUAGGUAGCGAGGAGGGCCUGCGCCUC